Long non-coding RNA from Molossus molossus (Pallas's mastiff bat), 125 nucleotides. RefSeq lists it as uncharacterized. The transcript has 3 exons. The record is from RefSeq and is a predicted model, not a curated record. Lineage: Eukaryota; Metazoa; Chordata; Mammalia; Chiroptera; Molossidae.
GUGGAGAGUGAGCAGCAGCCAGACCCCUCCACCCUCUACCUCUCCAGCUGCUCCUUGUAGGCGUCCUUGGCAGGCCUGUCUUCCUCUGACCACGUCUUCCUCUGAGAGGAGGCCUGCUCUCAGUA